CGCGGCCGAGUCCUAGGCUAGCCGCCGCUGCCCCCUCCCCCCAGCUUUUUUCCUCUCUUCUUCCCGUAGCAGCCCCCAGUUAAUAUUCAUUCCAGCAGCACGUUGCAAUGACAUUUGGUCUUCUCAGCCGUGAACUGCAAAGAAAACAGGAUUAAUUCCCCUGGCAACAGCAACAAGCUUCUUCCUUCUGCACCAGCAACGACCGCACUAGUAAAUCAGCGGUGCAACUUCUUCUUCCCCAACAUAUCAUCUUCCUUUAUGCCAUAUUGUGAGCCGUUCAGCAUGUGCUCCUACAACAACAGCAGCGCAGCAGAGGCCGGGGAAGGAAAAACCAGAGAAUAAGGACCCGAAAACCAGAGAAGAAAAACAGAAGCAUUGACCAGA
RNAcentral lists this long non-coding RNA (384 nucleotides) under Populus trichocarpa (black cottonwood). RNAcentral's name for it is "long non-coding RNA (PTRI_LNC003437)". Lineage: Eukaryota; Viridiplantae; Streptophyta; Magnoliopsida; Malpighiales; Salicaceae. The record is from RNAcentral.